AAAAUUCAUUAGUGCCAGGUCAUUGAUAGCCCUGAGGUUCACAUGCUGAACGGGGGAGGAGGAGCGGGAGGAAGAGGAGCGAGACGUGAGCUAGAUUGAGUUUCCUUGGCGACCGAAGGGACCCACUUGGGGCGAUGACUCUGGAGAAUGCAGCAUGCACACUUGAGAGCGCUCAGGGCCUGAGGACCUGUGAAUGAGGAGGGCACCACUGAAACCAACUCCAGUUUCAGG
Long non-coding RNA from Sinocyclocheilus grahami, 231 nucleotides. RefSeq lists it as uncharacterized. The transcript is spliced from 4 exons. The record is from RefSeq and is a predicted model, not a curated record. Lineage: Eukaryota; Metazoa; Chordata; Actinopteri; Cypriniformes; Cyprinidae.